RNAcentral lists this ribosomal RNA (253 nucleotides) under uncultured bacterium. RNAcentral's name for it is "partial 16S ribosomal RNA". It matches the Rfam family "Bacterial small subunit ribosomal RNA", at positions 524 to 776 of the family's 1533-position model. The record is from RNAcentral.
UACGUAGGUGGCAAGCGUUGUCCGGAUUUACUGGGCGUAAAGAGCGCGCAGGCGGUCGUUCAAGUCGCGUGUGAAAGCCCCCGGCUCAACUGGGGAGGGUCACGCGAUACUGAUCGACUCGAAGGCAGGAGAGGAAAGUGGAAUUCCCGGUGUAGUGGUGAUAUGCGUAGAUAUCGGGAGGAACACCUGUGGCGAAGGCGGCUUUCUGGGCCUUACCUGACGCUGAGACGCGAAAGCGUGGGGAGCGAACCGG